GUGGGGAAUAUUGGACAAUGGGCGCAAGCCUGAUCCAGCCAUGCCGCGUGAGUGAUGAAGGCCUUAGGGUUGUAAAGAUCUUUCAGGUGGGAAGAUAAUGACUGUACCACCAGAAGAAGCCCCGGCUAACUCCGUGCCAGCAGCCGCGGUAAUACGGAGGGGGCUAGCGUUGUUCGGAAUUACUGGGCGUAAAGCGCACGUAGGCGGACUGGAAAGUCAGGGGUGAAAUCCCGGGGCGCAACCCCGGAACUGCCUUUGAAACUCCCAGUCUUGAGUUCGAGAGAGGUGAGUGGAAUUCCGAGUGUAGAGGUGAAAUUCGUAGAUAUUCGGAGGAACACCAGUGGCGAAGGCGGCUCACUGGCUCGAUACUGACGCUGAGGUGCGAAAGCGUGGGGAGCAAACAGGAUUAGAAACCCCGGUAGUCC
Molecule: ribosomal RNA, 425 nt
Filed under: uncultured bacterium
Lineage: Bacteria
Description: partial 16S ribosomal RNA
Rfam family: Bacterial small subunit ribosomal RNA
Source: RNAcentral